AUCAUGUUUCCCUGACAAAUAAGAACUGUGUUCUUGGAGAACAGAGACCAGACUGCAGUCCCAGCGCUCUGCUUCCACCCGGCCCAGAUCACUUCACCCUGAGAUUUCCCACUAGCUUUUCUGAAGGAGCAAUCAUUUCUUACUUCCCAACGAAUUGCAUUUUUAUUUAAAGCUAUAAAUAAAUAUUAUUAUACCCUCUAUUUACCAGGUAUAUAUGUGCCAUAUCCAGCUGUGGCAAUUGUUCAUAGUUCAAUUCCUUUGCAUUAGCUGACUCUGUAAAAGUUAUGGUGUAGGCAGCUUCUCUUUAACCAACUCUUUCUCUUUCAUCACUGAUUGACUUCUGUGACACCCUGAUGACAUAGUCUGCUAUUGGAUCCAGGUUUUUACAUUCCCACCUCCAGACUUCACCCAUCUACUGUGUGCUUUUCCAUCCUCUAUGGGGCUCUAGAAUUGCUGAUUUGAAGCCCUCUCUCCAUAAAACUUCUGCUCGUGCUGACCUCUCCAUUCAGAACCUAGCUCUCAAACAGAUGAGGAAAUUAAAGUCUGUUAACAAAUGAGAGAAUGGAAGCCUGCUGGAUGUAAUGAUAUGGACUGUCUGGAGACAAUUUCUCAUAUCUAAAGAUUUCAGCAGUCAUCAGAGAAUUGGAAAGUGGAAAGUUCCAGAAAUAAACAACUGCACGCUGUUCUCAAUAGUGGAGUAAAAUCUUACACUGUCCUGCUGUCUCCUCAGGAAGUGGAUCAUCCUUUUGUCCAAUGUAUCCAUGCUGUAUAUGCUACUUGCCCUUUACUCACUUAGCCAUCUUGGUUAUCAGUUCCACUGCUGCAAUAUCUCACAGUGCUUGUUUUCAAGUAAACUUUAUUUUACUUGAACAAAGUGCAACAGUAGUGAUGCUAAUAAUUUGGAUGUGUCAAAGAGAGGCCACAGGGAAAUUCCCUGAAGGGAAAAAAGUGAAAGUUCUCUAUUUAAUAAGGAAAGAAAAAGGUUGUAUGCUGAGGAUGCUAAGAUCUAUGGUAAGAACAAAUCUUCUAUUAAAUUGUGAAGAAUGAAGAAGAAUUUCACGCUAGUUUUGCUAUCAUAACACAAACUGAAAAAGUUAUAGCCAUGGUACAUGAUAAACACUGAGUUGAGAUGGAAAAGACAUUAAAAUUGUGUCUGCAUAUAUAGGAAAAACCAGAAUGUACAGGGUUUGAUACUAUCCAGUUUUCGGCAUUCACUGAAUGGCUUAGAAUGUAUCUCUUGUGGAUACUGGGUGGGGUAGGGGAGAACUAUUGUGCUUAUUUAGUCACCAAUAAAUUUGACCUGAGUGUCUUCUGUCAGUCAAUAAA
This is a long non-coding RNA of Marmota monax (woodchuck), 1326 nucleotides long. RefSeq lists it as uncharacterized. The record is from RefSeq and is a predicted model, not a curated record. Lineage: Eukaryota; Metazoa; Chordata; Mammalia; Rodentia; Sciuridae. The transcript has 3 exons.